UACGUAGGGGGCAAGCGUUGUCCGGAUUUAUUGGGCGUAAAGAGCGUGUAGGCGGCCAGACAGGUCAGCUGUGAAAACUCGAGGCUCAACCUCGAGACGCCGAUGGAAACCAUGUGGCUAGAGUCCGGAAGAGGAGAGUGGAAUUCCCGGUGUAGCGGUGAAAUGCGCAGAUAUCGGGAAGAACACCCGUGGCGAAGGCGGUUCUCUGGGACGGUACUGACGCUGAGACGCGAAAGCGUGGGGAGCGAACAGG
RNAcentral lists this ribosomal RNA (253 nucleotides) under uncultured bacterium. RNAcentral's name for it is "partial 16S ribosomal RNA". It matches the Rfam family "Bacterial small subunit ribosomal RNA", at positions 524 to 776 of the family's 1533-position model. The record is from RNAcentral.